RNAcentral lists this ribosomal RNA (1079 nucleotides) under Ophiocordyceps sp. OSC 151909. Its description in RNAcentral is "SSU rRNA". It matches the Rfam family "Eukaryotic small subunit ribosomal RNA", at positions 74 to 1163 of the family's 1831-position model. Lineage: Eukaryota; Fungi; Ascomycota; Sordariomycetes; Hypocreales; Ophiocordycipitaceae. The record is from RNAcentral.
UUAUACAGCGAAACUGCGAAUGGCUCAUUAUAUAAGUUAUCGUUUAUUUGAUAGUACCUUACUACUUGGACAACCGUGGUAAUUCUAGAGCUAAUACAUGCUAAAAAUCCCGACUCCGGAAGGGAUGUAUUUAUUAGAUUAAAAGCCAAUGCCCCCCGGGCUCUCUGGUGAUUCAUGAUAACUGCUCGAAUCGCACGGCCUUGCGCCGGCGAUGGUUCAUUCAAAUUUCUUCCCUAUCAACUUUCGAUGUUUGGGUAGUGGCCAAACAUGGUUGCAACGGGUAACGGAGGGUUAGGGCUCGACCCCGGAGAAGGAGCCUGAGAAACGGCUACUACAUCCAAGGAAGGCAGCAGGCGCGCAAAUUACCCAAUCCCGACACGGGGAGGUAGUGACAAUAAAUACUGAUACAGGGCUCUUUUGGGUCUUGUAAUUAGAAUGAGUACAAUUUAAAUCCCUUAACGAGGAACAAUUGGAGGGCAAGUCUGGUGCCAGCAGCCGCGGUAAUUCCAGCUCCAAUAGCGUAUAUUAAAGUUGUUGUGGUUAAAAAGCUCGUAGUUGAACCUUGGGCCUGGCUGGCCGGUCCGCCUCACCGCGUGCACUGGUCCGGCCGGGCCUUUCCCUCUGUGGAACCCCAUGCCCUUCACUGGGUGUGGCGGGGAAACAGGACUUUUACUUUGAAAAAAUUAGAGUGCUCCAGGCAGGCCUUUGCUCGAAUACAUUAGCAUGGAAUAAUGAAAUAGGACGCGCGGUUCUAUUUUGUUGGUUUCUAGGACCGCCGUAAUGAUUAAUAGGGACAGUCGGGGGCAUCAGUAUUCAGCUGUCAGAGGUGAAAUUCUUGGAUCUGCUGAAGACUAACUACUGCGAAAGCAUUUGCCAAGGAUGUUUUCAUUAAUCAGGAACGAAAGUUAGGGGAUCGAAGACGAUCAGAUACCGUCGUAGUCUUAACCAUAAACUAUGCCGACUAGGGAUCGGACGAUGUUAUUUUUUGACUCGUUCGGCACCUUACGAGAAAUCAAAGUGCUUGGGCUCCAGGGGGAGUAUGGUCGCAAGGCUGAAACUUAAAGGAAUUGAACGGAAGA